UGAGUAACGAUAAUGCGGGAGAGUAACCCGCACACCGCAAGACCAAGGUUUCCUGAUCAACGCUAAUCGGAUCAGGGUUAGUCGGGUCCUAAGGGUAAGCCGAACGGCGAUCUCGAUGGAUAAUCGGUUAAUAUUCCGAUACUAACAUAUACCUCGAUGGAGAGACGAAGGAACGUAAGUGCCGCCACCUGACGGAAUAGGUGGUUAAAGGGCUUAGGUAUAGGGGCAGAUUAAGAGUUAGUCCUUGCUGAAACCUGACAGUACAGAGAGCCUACGGGCAAUUUGAUAGUGCACCCAAGUCGACUUCCGAGAAAAUCUUCUAAGUUAUAGUAUAUGUUACCCGUACCGUAAACCGACACAGGUGGUCGAGGAGAGUAUCCUAAGGUGCUCGAGUGAAUCACGGUUAAGGAACUAGGCAAAUUAACCCCGUAACUUCGGGAAAAGGGGUCCCUAUGAAAGUAGGGCGCAGCGAAGAGGUCCAGGCGACUGUUUAUCAAAAACACAGGGCUCUGCAAAUUCGAAAGAAGACGUAUAGGGCCUGACACCUGCCCGGUGCUGGAAGGUUAAGAGGGGAUGUCAUCGCAAGAGAAGCAUUGAAUCGAAGCCCCAGUAAACGGCGGCCGUAACUAUAACGGUCCUAAGGUAGCGAAAUUCCUUGUCGGGUAAGUUCCGACCUGCACGAAUGGUGUAACGAUCUGGACACUGUCUCAACCGUGAGCUCGGUGAAAUUGUAGUCCCGGUGAUGAUGCCGGGUACCCGCAACGGGACGAAAAGACCCCGUGAACCUUUACUAUAGCUUAACGCUGAAUUUGGGUACACAAUGUGUAGGAUAGGCCGGAGGCUUUGAAGCGGGCACGCCAGUGUUCGUGGAGCCGACGUUGAAAUACGGCCCUUUGUGUAUUUGAGUUCUAACCCUGCGAAGGGGACACCGUUUGGUGGGUAGUUUGACUGGGGUGGUCGCCUCCAAAAGCGUAACGGAGGCUUCCCAAGGUACCCUCAGCACGAAUGGUAACCGUGCGCGGAGUGCAAUAGCAUAAGGGUGCUUGACUGUGAGACAUACAAGUCGACCAGGUACGAAAGUAGGGUAUAGUGAUCCGGUGGUUCUGCGUGGACUGGCCAUCGCUCAAAGGAUAAAAGGUACUCCGGGGAUAACAGGCUGAUCGCCGCCAAGAGCUCAUAUCGACGCGGCGGUUUGGCACCUCGAUGUCGGCUCGUCACAUCCUGGGGCUGGAGAAGGUCCCAAG
RNAcentral lists this ribosomal RNA (1244 nucleotides) under human gut metagenome. RNAcentral describes it as "bacterial LSU rRNA". It matches the Rfam family "Bacterial large subunit ribosomal RNA", at positions 1303 to 2569 of the family's 2925-position model. The record is from RNAcentral.